CUAGUUGGUAGGGUAGUGGCCUACCAAAGUGGUAACGGGUAACGGGGAAUCAGGGUUUGAUUCCGGAGAGGGAGCCUUAGAAACGGCUACCACGUCCAAGGAAGGCAGCAGGCGCGCAAAUUACCCACUCUAGAUACUGGGAGGUAGUGACGAGAAAUAAUGGGGGCACCCUAAAAGGGCGCCGUCUGUAAUGAACGAAACACAAAAGCGUCGGUGAGGACCUACUGGAGGGCAAGUCUGGUGCCAGCAGCCGCGGCAAUUCCAGCUCCAGUAGUGUAUAUCAACAUUGUUGCGCUUAAAACGCUCGUAGUUGGGUUGCAGAUCGUACGAGAGUAGCCUUUUGGGCGACUCUUCCAGGUUCUUUUAGAAACUAGUAUCUACUUUUUGUAAAAGAACCGGUACGAGAUUGACUAUCGGAAAGACGGCCCGUUUUCAAUAACCCGCCUGCUAUCCCGGUAAAGUGUGCCUUGAAUAAAGCAUAAUGCUAAAAGUAAGCUAGUAGCUCGGGUGUAAUAGCAUGGAACGAAUAGUGACCAAGGGCGCAAGCCCGCCCUUUCAAUUGACACAGGGGGUCUCAAUGACCAAGAGGAAAGUUUGCGGGCACUGGUACUUUGGGGCGAGAGGUGAAAUUCUUAGACCCCCAAAAGACCAACUACUGCGAAGGCAUUUGCCAAAGAUGUUUCCGUUAAUCAAGAACGAAGGUCAGAGGAUCGAAGACGAUCAGAUACCGUCCUAGUUUUGACAGAAAACUCUGCCGGCGUAGGUGGGCGGCGAUCACUCGCAAAGAGACGAAUCACCGCGGACCUUAGGGGAAACCUGAGCUUUCGGGCUGCUGGGAGAAUAUUGCUGCAAGGCUGAAAUUUAAAGAAAUUGACGGAGAGGCACCACCAGGAGUGGAGCUUGCGGCUUAAUUUGACUCAACACGGGGAAACUCACCGGGUCCAGACAUUGGAAGGAUUGACAGAGUGGUGGAUCUUUCAUGAUUCAGUGAAUGGUGGUGCAUGGCCGUUCUUAGUUGGUGGAGUGAUCUGUCAGGUUUAUUCCGGUAACGAGCGAGACCGCGGUCUUUAAUUGGCUUCCAUUAAUUAAACCUUUCACCGGGUUUAAUGGUGGAUUCGAAAUAAAGAGACAAUCGGUGCAAAGCCGGCGGAAGCGCGGCAAUAACAGGUCUGUGAUGCCCUGCGAUGUCCUGGGCUGCACGCGUGCCACAAUGGCAGGAUAAGAAGGCGGCUGGCCCGAGCGGGUUGGCGAAGCGUCAAUACCUGCCGCGAUGGGGACUGAGCCUUGCAAUUAUUGCUCACGAAAGAGGAAUUCCUCGUAGGCGCAGGUCAUGAGCCUGCGUCGAAUACGUCUCUGCCUCUUGUAC
RNAcentral lists this ribosomal RNA (1366 nucleotides) under Ceratomyxa cottoidii. Its description in RNAcentral is "bacterial SSU rRNA". It matches the Rfam family "Eukaryotic small subunit ribosomal RNA", at positions 319 to 1665 of the family's 1831-position model. The record is from RNAcentral. Lineage: Eukaryota; Metazoa; Cnidaria; Myxozoa; Bivalvulida; Ceratomyxidae.